This 451-nucleotide ribosomal RNA is filed under the name uncultured bacterium. Its description in RNAcentral is "partial 16S ribosomal RNA". It matches the Rfam family "Bacterial small subunit ribosomal RNA", at positions 354 to 796 of the family's 1533-position model. The record is from RNAcentral.
GUGGGGAAUAUUGGACAAUGGGGGGAACCCUGAUCCAGCCAUGCCGCGUGUGUGAAGAAGGCCUUUUGGUUGUAAAGCACUUUAAGCGAGGAGGAGGCUACCGAGAUUAAUACUCUUGGAUAGUGGACGUUACUCGCAGAAUAAGCACCGGCUAACUCUGUGCCAGCAGCCGCGGUAAUACAGAGGGUGCAAGCGUUAAUCGGAUUUACUGGGCGUAAAGCGCGCGUAGGUGGACAAUUAAGUCAAAUGUGAAAUCCCCGAGCUUAUCUUGGGAAUUGCAUUCGAUACUGGUUGGCUAGAGUAUGGGAGAGGAUGGUAGAAUUCCAGGUGUAGCGGUGAAAUGCGUAGAGAUCUGGAGGAAUACCGAUGGCGAAGGCAGCCAUCUGGCCUAAUACUGACACUGAGGUGCGAAAGCAUGGGGAGCAAACAGGAUUAGAAACCCUAGUAGUCC